AGUGGCGGACGGGUGAGUAACGCGUGGGUAACCUGCCUCAUACAGGGGGAUAACAGUUAGAAAUGACUGCUAAUGCCGCAUAAGACCACAGCACCGCAUGGUGUAGGGGUAAAAACUCCGGUGGUAUGAGAUGGACCCGCGUCUGAUUAGGUAGUUGGUGGGGUAACGGCCUACCAAGCCGACGAUCAGUAGCCGACCUGAGAGGGUGACCGGCCACAUUGGGACUGAGACACGGCCCAA
RNAcentral lists this ribosomal RNA (240 nucleotides) under uncultured bacterium. RNAcentral's name for it is "partial 16S ribosomal RNA". It matches the Rfam family "Bacterial small subunit ribosomal RNA", at positions 94 to 334 of the family's 1533-position model. The record is from RNAcentral.